Molecule: ribosomal RNA, 465 nt
Filed under: uncultured bacterium
Lineage: Bacteria
Description: partial 16S ribosomal RNA
Rfam family: Bacterial small subunit ribosomal RNA
Source: RNAcentral
GACGAACGCUGGCGGCGUGCUUAACACAUGCAAGUCGAACGGAAAGGCCCUGCUUGCAGGGUACUCGAGUGGCGAACGGGUGAGUAACACGUGGGUGAUCUGCCCUGCACUUCGGGAUAAGCUUGGGAAACUGGGUCUAAUACCGGAUAGGAGCCAUCUUUAGUGUGGUGGUUGGAAAGUUUUUUCGGUGUAGGAUGAGCUCGCGGCCUAUCAGCUUGUUGGUGGGGUAAUGGCCUACCAAGGCGGCGACGGGUAGCCGGCCUGAGAGGGUGUACGGCCACAGUGGGACUGAGAUACGGCCCAGACUCCUACGGGAGGCAGCAGUGGGGAAUAUUGCACAAUGGGCGCAAGCCUGAUGCAGCGACGCCGCGUGGGGGAUGAAGGCCUUCGGGUUGUAAACUCCUUUCGCUAGGGACGAAGCUUUUUGUGACGGUACCUAGAUAAGAAGCACCGGCUAACUACGUG